Molecule: ribosomal RNA, 1893 nt
Filed under: Neohydrocoptus bivittis
Lineage: Eukaryota; Metazoa; Arthropoda; Insecta; Coleoptera; Noteridae
Description: SSU rRNA
Rfam family: Eukaryotic small subunit ribosomal RNA
Source: RNAcentral
CGAGCCAAAUUAAGGUGAAACCGCGAAAGGCUCAUUAAAUCAGUUAUGGUUCCUUAGAUCGUACCCACAUUUACUUGGAUAACUGUGGUAAUUCUAGAGCUAAUACAUGCAAACAGAGCUCCGACCGGAGACGGAAGGAGUGCUUUUAUUAGAUCAAAACCAAUCGGCGUCGGUCCGUUCGCGGGCCGUUCGUCGCUAUCACUGGUGACUCUGAAUAACUUUAUGCUGAUCGCACGGUCUCGCACCGGCGACGCAUCUUUCAAAUGUCUGCCUUAUCAACUGUCGAUGGUAGGUUCUGCGCCUACCAUGGUCGUAACGGGUAACGGGGAAUCAGGGUUCGAUUCCGGAGAGGGAGCCUGAGAAACGGCUACCACAUCCAAGGAAGGCAGCAGGCGCGCAAAUUACCCACUCCCGGCACGGGGAGGUAGUGACGAAAAAUAACGGUACGGGACUCAUCCGAGGCCCCGUAAUCGGAAUGAGUACACUUUAAAUCCUUUAACGAGUAUCAAUUGGAGGGCAAGUCUGGUGUCAGCAGCCGCGGUAACUCCAGCUCCAAUAGCGUAUAUUAAAGUUGUUGCGUUUAAAAAGCUCGUAGUUGAAUCUGUGUCCCGCGCUGUCGGUUCACCGUCCGCGGUGUUUAACUGGCACGCUCGCGGGACGUCCUGCCGGUGGGUUCGUUUCGUCCGGCGGCCGGCGACGGUCGUCGGGUGGCGGCCCGACUCACGAUCCUACCGCGGUGCUCUUCACUGAGUGUCGAGGUGGGCCGGCACGUUUACUUUGAACAAAUUAGAGUGCUCAAAGCAGGCCGAAAUCACGCCUGAAUAUUGUGUGCAUGGAAUAAUGGAACAGGACCUCGGUUCUAUUUUGUUGGUUUUCGGAAGUCCGAGGUAAUGAUUAAUAGGGACAGAUGGGGGCAUUCGUAUUGCGACGUUAGAGGUGAAAUUCUUGGAUCGUCGCAAGACGGACAGAAGCGAAAGCAUUUGCCAAAAAUGUUUUCAUUAAUCAAGAACGAAAGUCAGAGGUUCGAAGGCGAUCAGAUACCGCCCUAGUUCUGACCAUAAACGAUGCCAGCUAGCGAUCCGCUGACGUUCCUCCGAUGACUCGGCGGGCAGCUUCCGGGAAACCAAAGCUUUUGGGUUCCGGGGGAAGUAUGGUUGCAAAGCUGAAACUUAAAGGAAUUGACGGAAGGGCACCACCAGUAGUGGAGCCUGCGGUUUAAUUUGACUCAACACGGGAAACCUCACCAGGCCCGGACACCGGAAGGAUUGACAGAUUGAGAGCUCUUUCUUGAUUCGGUGGGUGGUGGUGCAUGGCCGUUCUUAGUUGGUGGAGCGAUCUGUCUUGGUUAAUUCCGGUAACGAACGAGACUCUAACCUGCUAACUAGGCGUAUCUUCCGACAUCUAGAAGGCUCGCGUCGCCUGUCAGCCGCGGCGCGGUCGUGCGGUCGUCGGGCGUAGUUCGUCUAUCUCGCUCGCGGGUUAGGCGUUCUGCGUCCGCGCCGUCGUCCCGUCCGGUCGGGCGUUCGCGGUUUUUACUGUCGGCGUACAAUAUAAUCUUCUUAGAGGGACAGGCGGUUCCUAACCGCACGAGAUUGAGCAAUAACAGGUCUGUGAUGCCCUUAGAUGUUCUGGGCCGCACGCGCGCUACACUGAAGGAAUCAGCGUGUCCUCCCUGGCCGAGCGGUCCGGGUAACCCGCUGAACCUCCUUCGUGCUAGGGAUUGGGGCUUGCAAUUAUUCCCCAUGAACGAGGAAUUUCUAGUAAGCGCGAGUCAUAAGCUUGCGCUGAUUACGUCCCUGCCCUUUGUACACACCGCCCGUCGCUACUACCGAUUGAAUGAUUUAGUGAGGUCUUCGGACCGGUACGCGGCGGCGUUCCGACGUCGCCGAUGUC